This 531-nucleotide ribosomal RNA is filed under the name uncultured Streptococcus sp. RNAcentral describes it as "bacterial SSU rRNA". It matches the Rfam family "Bacterial small subunit ribosomal RNA", at positions 8 to 521 of the family's 1533-position model. The record is from RNAcentral. Lineage: Bacteria; Bacillati; Bacillota; Bacilli; Lactobacillales; Streptococcaceae.
AGAGUUUGAUCCUGGCUCAGGACGAACGCUGGCGGCGUGCCUAAUACAUGCAAGUAGAACGCUGAAGAGAGGAGCUUGCUCUUCUUGGAUGAGUUGCGAACGGGUGAGUAACGCGUAGGUAACCUGCCUUGUAGCGGGGGAUAACUAUUGGAAACGAUAGCUAAUACCGCAUAACAAUGGAUGACGCAUGUCAUUUAUUUGAAAGGGGCAAUUGCUCCACUACAAGAUGGACCUGCGUUGUAUUAGCUAGUAGGUGAGGUAACGGCUCACCUAGGCGACGAUACAUAGCCGACCUGAGAGGGUGAUCGGCCACACUGGGACUGAGACACGGCCCAGACUCCUACGGGAGGCAGCAGUAGGGAAUCUUCGGCAAUGGGGGCAACCCUGACCGAGCAACGCCGCGUGAGUGAAGAAGGUUUUCGGAUCGUAAAGCUCUGUUGUAAGUCAAGAACGAGUGUGAGAGUGGAAAGUUCACACUGUGACGGUAGCUUACCAGAAAGGGACGGCUAACUACGUGCCAGCAGCCGCGGU